CCUACGGGAGGCAGCAGUGGGGAAUAUUGCACAAUGGGGGAAACCCUGAUGCAGCGACGCCGCGUGAGUGAAGAAGUAGUUCGGUAUGUAAAGCUCUAUCAGCAGGGAAGAAAAUGACGGUACCUGACUAAGAAGCCCCGGCUAACUACGUGCCAGCAGCCGGGGUAAUACGUAGGGGGCAAGCGUUAUCCGGAUGUACUGGGUGUAAAGGGAGCGUAGACGGUUCUGCAAGUCUGGAGUGAAAGGCGGGGGCUUAACCCCCGCACGGCUGUGGAAACUGUGCGGCUGGAGUGCGGCAGAGGCAAGCGGAAUUCCUGGUGUAGCGGUGAAAUGCGUAGAUAUUAGGCGGAACACCAGUGGCGAAGGCGGCUUGCUGGACUGUAACUGACGUUGAGGCACGAAAGCGUGGGGAGCGAACAGGAUUAGAUACCCUAGUAGUC
This 440-nucleotide ribosomal RNA is filed under the name uncultured bacterium. RNAcentral describes it as "partial 16S ribosomal RNA". It matches the Rfam family "Bacterial small subunit ribosomal RNA", at positions 338 to 795 of the family's 1533-position model. The record is from RNAcentral.